GACGAACGCUGGCGGCGUGCCUAAUACAUGCAAGUUGAGCGAUGAAGAUUGGUGCUUGCACCAAUUUGAAGAGCAGCGAACGGGUGAGUAACGCGUGGGGAAUCUGCCUUUGAGCGGGGGACAACAUUUGGAAACGAAUGCUAAUACCGCAUAACAACUUUAAACAUAAGUUUUAAGUUUGAAAGAUGCAAUUGCAUCACUCAAAGAUGAUCCCGCGUUGUAUUAGCUAGUUGGUGAGGUAAAGGCUCACCAAGGCGAUGAUACAUAGCCGACCUGAGAGGGUGAUCGGCCACAUUGGGACUGAGACACGGCCCAAACUCCUACGGGAGGCAGCAGUAGGGAAUCUUCGGCAAUGGACGAAAGUCUGACCGAGCAACGCCGCGGGAGUGAAGAAGGGUGUCGGAUCGUAAAACUCUGUUGGUAGAGAAGAACGUUGGUGAGAGUGGAAAGCUCAUCAAGUGACGGUAACUACCCAGAAAGGGACGGCUAACUACGUG
This 497-nucleotide ribosomal RNA is filed under the name uncultured bacterium. Its description in RNAcentral is "partial 16S ribosomal RNA". It matches the Rfam family "Bacterial small subunit ribosomal RNA", at positions 28 to 507 of the family's 1533-position model. The record is from RNAcentral.